Molecule: unclassified non-coding RNA, 284 nt
Filed under: uncultured fungus
Lineage: Eukaryota; Fungi
Description: sequence contains ITS1
Source: RNAcentral
GUAUAUAUAACUUUAUGGGGCAUCAAAGACCCAGAUCAACAUUCUAUUACAUUCGUAGGGGGUAUGUGAGUAGCAUAGAACCUAGAGAGACAAGGAAAAGCUGGCGCAGCAGUCCCCAAAACCUGUCCUGAAGACAAUUUUCUUUCUCUAGGUCUACAAAAAGGGUGCACAGGUGGAAAAAUAAAUAAAUAAAUGACAAGCGUGCACACUACCCUAGAAGGGCCAGCAACAGCCUAUCAAAUGUUUAUUCGAUAAUGAUCCUUCCGCAGGUUCACCUACGGAAA